AUUUCAGUACCAAGGCUAGUACUGAAGGUCACCAGUUACUGACAGACAGAUAGCUAUACUAUAGGUCAGUUGGUAAGUACAGCAGCCCUGAAUUUUCAGUAGCAGGAUACAGAGACUUAAGGAGACACAGCCCAGUUUAUUUCAGCUUUCCAUAUUUAAGGCUGCACACAGGUACACAGAUGUCGGUUGGUAAGUAUGUUGUUCAGCAACCGUUAGAAGUAACAGGUGGUAGGGACUUAAGUUGCUUUGUACAUGUAAUUCAGUACCAAGGAUAGUACCAGGAGCACAAUGUAGUUCCAGUACAGUUCUUACUGUGGAUGCUCAUGAUUUUCCAAGCCUUACAUGUUGUUAUGGAACAUGAGGGUGGUGAUGUGUGGAGUCUUCAAUUUUAACAGGUUAGGUGUUGGAAUGAUAUGAAACACAUACAGGUGGUAGGGGAUAUCUCUUCUUCCCAGUACUUAAUACGAUUUCCAUGUGUGUAGGUGGGAGUCUUGGUAUUUUACCUCUAACUUCAUCUUACCACCUUCCUUAGCCGACACAAGCAAGCCCUUAUCAGGGAAAAAGCCGGCAGGGGUUCGAUGGAAGGAGACUGUCAAUGCUGUCAUGAUCUCACACGAGUCGGCAGAAUCGGAUAAGAAUGGUCCGAGGGACAGAUACCGCGUUCGGUAUACUCCAGAGGACAUGGCGGGGUAUGCGCUGUCAGAAGAAGAGUAUCACCAGCCGUGGGGUCUGGCCAGGCUCUCACCCGCACACAAAAAUGCCAUCCGUGCAAUAAG
Molecule: long non-coding RNA, 776 nt
Organism: Branchiostoma belcheri (Belcher's lancelet)
Lineage: Eukaryota; Metazoa; Chordata; Leptocardii; Amphioxiformes; Branchiostomatidae
Exons: 3
Source: RefSeq, a predicted model, not a curated record